ACUUUGGUAGUAAAUAGCAGGUAGACAAAGGCUUAUUAUGUAUCGAUAAACAGAAGGAAAAUAUAAAUCAACGUCUUAUAAGGAAACUUAAGGUUUGUUUAAAUGUGUGUGUGUAUAACCAUUAUGUUUGGUUAUAACUUUAACUUUUAGUGUUAUUGCAGUUUGAGCUACUGCGUAUUAGCUAGUCGAAAUACCAAAGUAUGCAUUUUCUGAAAAUAAACAUGUAACUGGAUAUCAGAACAUGGCGGCUUUAUAAUACGCGUUUACAUGUGCCUCAGCAUAAUCACAGCUGUUACGGUGCGAUUUUGAUUGCGGAUUGAAAAGUGAAGACAGGGGAAGAAAAACAUGGCGCACGCGCUGAAAUGUGGUCCUUGCUUGUUCGAGGGUGUUACAGUUGAUCCAAAACAUUUCUGUGUGGACUGCUCGGAAUAUCUGUGCACGGCGUGUGCACGAGAACAUCGAAGACACAAAACAUUACGUGAGCAUAAAUUACUCGGAGAGACGGAACUGCCACAAGACGCAACAUUAUUUGAAGAAAUGAAAAAAUUGUCGCAUUGCUCCAAACACGAUGACAUUGAACUUGACCAGUAUUGUAAAAAUCAUAAUGUUUUGAUAUGCCUGCAUUGUCUGAAAAACGACCACAGAUUGUGUGAAGAUCGGAUAGAUCUUACAAAAUUGUUGGAAAAUGAAUAUGCGACUGAAAAUGUACGUGAACGAAUCUUUGAGCUCCAGAGAAAGUGUCAAGUACAACUGACCGAAACGAUGGAAUUAUCAAAGGAUGCAAAUACCAAUAGCAAAGAAGUAGAACAGCAUAUCAAUACUUUAGUUGAUACCUUGAAGAAGAACGUUCACAAUCUAGAAAAGAAGUUAAACAAAGUGCGCGAAAGUUUAAUAUCGCCUGUAACGGAGUCUAUUAGACUUUCUAAGCAAACAUUGUCAAUUAUCGAAAAAAAAGCGUUACGUUAUGUGAACCUGUUCGAUGUAGCGUCAAAGUUUGGUACGAUGAAACAUAAUGUAGUCUUCCAUUUCUUGGUAUCAAUGUUGAUGAAAGAAUUAGAAGCAGAUGACUUACUGAAGAAGAAUUCAACUUCAAAGAUAAAAUGUGUACAAGCUAUCAGCACUGAAGAGAUUGCAAGCAUGAUGGGUCAAUGCAGUAUAGCGUUAGCAUGCUCGGACGAACAAGGCUCGGAAUCGUGCAGUGAUGAAGCAUUAGAUGAACAUUCAUUGAGAUUUCCCACUCCUAAAACACGAACUGUAGCAACACAAGUAGAAGGACUGGUUGAUUUAAAUACAAAUACAUUAGAGAAGUCUCUACAUAAAAUGAAGAUAUUGUAUAAUAAUGUAAAAUUAUUGAUUUGUGAAUGUCCUAAACAAAACGGGAAGUAUGCUCCAGUUAUUGGUUUAGAUGUAUUAACGGACGGAAGAAUACUUCUACUUCAUUCACGUAUGAUAAAGGUAUAUUCACUUAAACUGGUUUUGAUUUCGAAGUUUAGUUUCGAUGUCAAUUUCCGUGCUAAAGAUAUGUGUGUUCUGGAAGAAAAUGAAUACGGCGUGUUUACGGUGGCAAUUAGUCUUGCCAGUUUUUGUAACAUGAAAACCAAAAUUACAUUGAUAGAAUAUACUGACGGAUUUCGUGAGAAACACGCUAUUAAUUGUAGGUACUUCAUCAACAGCAUCACACUGCUAGGUCAUCAUGUGUUAGUAGUUGGGUCGGAUCAAAUCCAAUUGCUUGACAUCUCUACUGGUCGCGUGUGUUAUGCCUUUGACGAAACAAUGUGGGCAAGCAACGGAUCAAAGAUUAAUACGACCAUAAACAGAGUCAGAGCUUGUAAAGCAACUAAUAAAAUUGCACUAGCCUGCAAUGACACAGUUUACAGAGUAAAAAUAGAAGAUGGUGAAUGCCAAAAAGACACACUGCAUGCAGUAUGUCCGUUUGUUUGGAAAUACAUACGAUGUCUUGAAAGCCAACCGGAAAUUAAGGACAACGCAGAUAUUAAGUGGGAUUCGCAAGGGAACAUGUAUAUUGCAAAUAAUUGCGGUGUGUAUCAAUUUUGCAUUGGUAAUAGUCUUUUCAAAGAGAGACCUUUGAUAACAGUCCGUGAAAAUUGUUCAGCAAUAGCAAUAGAUGAAGAGAGAAACCGGAUAGUAGUUGGUUGUUCAACUUCAAAUCGUAUAUACGUAUACGAGUACGAACUACCUGCUGAAGAAUAGGACGUGAUUAACGCAGUCGUGAUAUUCGCUACAUUUAUGAAAAACUAGACUUACUUUUGUUAGUGAACUGCAUUCAGCUGAUGUUUUGGACGGAUCACGACUUAGUAAAUUCAACAAAAGAGAAAAUCGUAAUAAGUCAAAUGCGACGAUGCGAAUGCCUUAAAAUUGCCUCAAGAUCAGUUGUAAAAAUUAUCCAAAGAAUUAUACUGUUUAAUAGCGUAUACUCGAGGACAUGUACUGUGUGAAUAUAUCAUAAAAAUAAUGCUUUGAAAAUUUAUGCGCCGAUAUCAUAAACUAUGAUAAAAUCAUGUUUAUACAAUACCAUAUAUAUGCGUCUUGUGCAUAAAAAAGUUAUCUAAUCCAUAUAACUUUUGGAAACGGACGUACAUGUAUAAAUGUUAUCAUUGUUUUGCAUCAAGUGCGUUAUAACGUUAUACAAUGUAUUUAACUUGGAGAAAUUAAAACUUGUAAAAUGUUUAUGUUUAUAGUAUUUAAUGCCAAUUUUAUUCUUAUCUAGCGCAUUUGAAUGUUAUCAAACUCGUUUUAUUGUGAAAACUCUAUUGAAUGUAUGUACCAAUUCAUGUUUGUAACUCAAAUGAAAAUGUUGUCCAAUUCGUUUAACUUUUGGGUACCUUAUUAUAUGUAUAUAUACCACUUAAAAGUUUGUAUGUAGUGCAUUAAAAUUUGAUCCGAUUAAUUUAACCUUUUAGUGUAAAUCUAUUUAUUUAAGAUCGAUUGCAUCCAAAGCCUAAGGCGUAUUGGAAACGCUCUCGAGUCCGUUUCACUGGGACUAUAACAAGAACUUGGUGUCUAUGGGGGAGAUCUUAAGAACGCUCCCACAGUGUGGAUCGAACCUAUGACCUCCCGGUCGAUUGGCGGACAACACAUCCACUACGCCAAGGCGACCCUAAAUUCAAGAUGUGUGAUAUAAUCGGGCGACAACUACAACUGAUGUAGUUCUAGUUUAAAGCAUGUACAUGUAUUUGUUUUGAGGAGUACCUGAAGACCCUAAAUGUCAUUGUCAACAUCAGUCAAAGAACAAAACCACAAAACCAAUAAUUCAAUAAAAGAUACAAUUGAGCAUUGAUGAAAAAGCGAGAGUCGGCAUGCGAUAUUAUUUCAGCGAUAUAUGAACAGAAAAAAUAUUGAGUAUCGCGCAAAAUAUCCUGUAUCGCUUCUUGUGCCGUGUGUCGCGGUCUGAAAUUAGACCGCGAUACACGAGAUUCGGAUAACAUGGGCGAUAUUUGAAUAACAACAUAUCAUGUAUCGUUUCGUGUGUCGCUUCGCAUUUCGUCCUUUGAAUGCGAGACAUGAUAUGUUGCGCGAUACUCAAAUCGACACACGAUAUCACGAAGCGACACGCGAUAUUUACCACGAUACAUCGCCUUUUGGGCUACCUACACAAGGGCGAUAUUUCGUGGUACAUUCUCGCGCGUCGCUUCGUGUAUCGCGCAAAAUAUAUUGUGUCGCGCAAAAUAUCGUGUAUCGCUUCAUGUGUCGUGUGUCGCCCUUGAUGAAUGAAGGGCGAGAUUAUAGAUGGCUUUAUCCGGAUUCCGUAUUAUAGGAAAAGUAAAAUUACAUUGAUGGAAUAUACGGACGGAUUUUGUGAGAAAUACACUAUUACUUGUACUCACGACAUUAAUAGCACCACCUUGCUUGGUCACCAUUUGUUAGUUGUUGGAUCGGGUCCAAUCUAGUUGCUUGACAUCUCUACAGGUCACGUCUGUUAUGCCAAAAUGCUUUACGAAAAAAUGUGGGCAAGCGAUGGAUAAGAUAUUUAUACGGCCAUAAAUAUUGUUCGAGCUUGUAAAGCAACUAAGAAAAUUGCACUAGCCUGCAGUAACACAGUUUACCAAGUAAACAUAGAAGAUGGCGAAUGUCAAAAAGACACAUUGCAUGCAGUAUGCCCGUUUGUUUGGAAAUACGAACACAAAAAACACGCCAAAAUCGAACAUUGAGAACAAUAAAGAUGUUAAGUGGGACUUGCAAGGGAAUAUGUAUAUUGCAGGUACGUGCGGGGUGUAUCAAUUUUGCCAUGGGAGUGGUCUUUUCAAAGCGAGUCCUCUUAUCCUUAAAUAUUGUACAGCAAUAGCGAUAGAUGAACAAAGAAACAGGAUUGUGGUUGGUUAUUAAUAUCCAAAUCGUAUACACGUGUACGAGUACGAACUACCAGCUGAAGAAUAGGACGUGAUUAAGGCAGUAUUGAUGUUCGUUACAUUGAUGAGAAACUUUACUUAUUGUUGUUUAUGAACUUCAUUCGGCUGAUGUUUAUGCCAGAUAGAGACUUAGUAAAUACUACAAAGGAAAACAAUUGUAAUAAGUAAAAUGAGACGAAACGGAAGCCUUAAAAUUGCUCUCAAGAUCCGUUGUCAAAAUUGUUUACAUUUAAAAAUUAUCAAACGAAUGAUAUUUUUGAUAGCUUACACUCGGAUAUGUACUUUGUGAAUAUAUCAUAAAAAUGCUUUAAAAUGUUUUCGCCGAUUCAUUUCUUUUGUAUAACCUAGUAUAUAAUUAUGUUUAUACACAACCAUUUGUAUGUAUAUUACGCAUAACACAGUUAUCCCAUCCAUAUAACUGUUGAAAACUUUACUGCAUUUGUAAAUGUUAUCAUUGUUUUGGAUCUGGUGCGUUAUAACGUAACAAAAAUGUUUGAAUUUUUAAAAAGUUAAACUCGUAAAAAGUUUAUGUAUAUAGUUUAUAAUUUCAAUUUGGGUAUAUCUAGCGCAUUUGAAUGUUAUCGAACUCAUUUUAUUGUAAAAACUAUAUUUAAUGGAUGUACCAUUUCAUGUAUGUUACUAGUGCAUUAAAAUGUUGUCCGAUUGGUUUAACUUGAGGGUAUCCUAGUAUAUGUACACUGAGACUUUUUUAACGCAACACGUAUUCAAAUCAAUAUAGCUCCCUUUUCUUUGAACAGAUUUUGUUUAAAUUUGGACUAAGACUUAUUCAACUCAUAUCUAAUAAUCCAAGUAAAUUUAAUUGAAAUUGAUCAACAAUAAAAUAUAAAACAUAACAACAACAAAAAACAAUCAUUGAAGAAGCAAAAUUCUCAAAUCGUUCAUCGUAAAUGAAUAAUGUGAAACGUAAAACGCAUUUACCUACACGUCUUAAUGACCGACCGGCUUGUAAUAUUGCACUCAUACGAGCCAUAUUGCUUUUCUUAUUAAUGUUAUGUUUUCCUGGUGUAAAAAUCCACCUAGAAUGAUGAAAUGGAUAUCAAUUUGGAAUUAUAUAGCGCUCUGUACUACACUUGAUGACUUUUCGCACGCAGCAUUUUUAAACUUAAAUAUCUCAGAGUUGGUUAAAUAUUUUGAAUUUUUGAUUUAAAAUUGUACAUGUGAUUAUUUUCCUGGUGUAUCAACCUAAAAUGAAGACAUAGAAAUAAAAUUAGAAUCCUAUCGCCUUUCACCAUUUUCCCAUGCAAAAAUAUGAAACCACGCCUCCCAAACGUGCAUAAGCGCCUGAUUGUCACUGAUGAAUGAUUGUAUCGUAAUCUUGCACAUAAUAUAUUCAAAUGAUAACAUUUGAACUUUUAAAUAAAAAUCUUAACUCAUUACAGAAAUAUUCAAGUUUGAAAAGUGUUGCGUUAGAAAAGUCUCCAAGUGUAUAUACAACUUAAAGUUUGCAUGUAGUGCAGUAAAAUUUGAUCCGAUGUAUAUAACCUUUUAUCAAUACUAUAUGUAUCUAGCAUUUUAUAACAUUUUCCAUAUUUAAUUUUGUUUGAUCUCUUAGGCUAUAACAGCUAUCAACCUUAACUUUCGUGGGCAGAUUGUAUUAGAAAAAGUACUUUUCACGAAAACAGUAACUCUGCACGUUAUACUGUUUGACGUAUUGCGAUAUGUACCAGGUAAAUGUAAAUAAUAUGUUUUGUUUUGAGCAUCAAUAUCACAACUGUUAUUGUGCAAGAUGUGUAAUAUAAUCGGGCGUCAAGCAACACUUA
Dreissena polymorpha is the source of this 6148-nucleotide RNA transcript. RefSeq lists it as uncharacterized. Lineage: Eukaryota; Metazoa; Mollusca; Bivalvia; Myida; Dreissenidae. The record is from RefSeq and is a predicted model, not a curated record. The transcript has 3 exons.